Molecule: transfer RNA, 74 nt
Filed under: Acropora cervicornis
Lineage: Eukaryota; Metazoa; Cnidaria; Anthozoa; Scleractinia; Acroporidae
Description: tRNA-Ala
Rfam family: tRNA
About the family: Transfer RNA (tRNA) molecules are approximately 80 nucleotides in length. Their secondary structure includes four short double-helical elements and three loops (D, anti-codon, and T loops). Further hydrogen bonds mediate the characteristic L-shaped molecular structure. tRNAs have two regions of fundamental functional importance: the anti-codon, which is responsible for specific mRNA codon recognition, and the 3' end, to which the tRNAs corresponding amino acid is attached (by aminoacyl-tRNA synthetases). tRNAs cope with the degeneracy of the genetic code in two manners: having more than one tRNA (with a specific anti-codon) for a particular amino acid; and 'wobble' base-pairing, i.e. permitting non-standard base-pairing at the 3rd anti-codon position.
Source: RNAcentral
GGCUUCAUACCUCAGUUGGUGGGAGCACUGCACCCGCUUUGCAGAGGUCGUGGGUUUGAAUCCCAUUGAAGACA